This 408-nucleotide ribosomal RNA is filed under the name uncultured bacterium. RNAcentral describes it as "partial 16S ribosomal RNA". It matches the Rfam family "Bacterial small subunit ribosomal RNA", at positions 28 to 526 of the family's 1533-position model. The record is from RNAcentral.
GACGAACGCUGGCGGCGUGCUUAACACAUGCAAGUCGAACGAAGUGGCGAACGGGUGAGUAACGCGUAAUCAACCUGCCCUUCGGAGGGGGACAACAGUUGGGAACGACUACUAAUACCGCAUACUGAAGGAGGGGAUUGCGUCUGAUUAGCUAGUUGGGGGGGUAACGGCCCACAAAGGCGAUGAUCAGUAGCCGGUCUGAGAGGAUGAACGGCCAAAGUGGGACUGGGUAACGGCCCAGACUCCUACGGGAGGCAGCAGUGGGGAAUCUUCCGCAAUGGAGGAAAGUCUGACGGAGCAACGCCGCGGGAGUGAUGACGGCCUUCGGGUUGUAAAGCUCUGUUAGUCGGGACGCGGUACCGGAAUAGAAAGCCACGGCUAACUACGUGCCAGCCGCCGCGGUAAUAC